GGCGGAAAAGGCCUCUUCUUACAAGCUUCAACGAUGGUUUCUGAUUCAUCAUGCCUAUCAUCACCAGUAUUCAGCUGAGUUUCAUCAAACAAUAUAGCCAUACUUACAUCCAGUCAGUUACAGCUACGAUUCGAUCCUCGUCAUAGUCUCGUCCCCUUUGGAGGGGUUCAUUGGGCGAGUGGACAAUUAGGCUAUGGUAUCCUAUCAGCUGUGAUAACUUGUUAUCAAAAGUCAGGAAAACUGACGGGCCCCAAAUGCCGUCGGCCAUGGAAUUGGAAUAAUGGGAAUGCCACCAAAACGUGCCUGAUUGAUGGCUUACGGUGAAUUGUCAUAUGGACUCUCUGUCCUCUCCAAGAAUACUUGCCUGGGUUAUACCAGGUACACCGUCCAUGAGAGCCGUGCCAUUCUGUCGCAAACCAUGCCAAUCUGAAUUGGAAGUCAGUGACAAUGGAGGCAUGACAUCACCUUUUCAUGAGAAGAUAUACUUACGGAUGCCCUGUCCUUCAUGCAGAUAAUUGUUGACAUGUACGAUAACAGUAUCC
RNAcentral lists this small RNA (542 nucleotides) under Cryptococcus neoformans H99. RNAcentral describes it as "Cryptococcus neoformans var. grubii H99 hypothetical RNA". Lineage: Eukaryota; Fungi; Basidiomycota; Tremellomycetes; Tremellales; Cryptococcaceae. The record is from RNAcentral.